UACGAAGGGGGCAAGCGUUGUUCGGAAUUACUGGGCGUAAAGGGCGCGUAGGCGGCCUGCUAAGUCGAACGUGAAAUCCCCGAGCUCAACUCGGGAACUGCGUCCGAUACUGACAGGCUUGAAUCCGGGAGAGGGAUGCGGAAUUCCAGGUGUAGCGGUGAAAUGCGUAGAUAUCUGGAGGAACACCGGUGGCGAAGGCGGCAUCCUGGACCGGCAUUGACGCUGAGGCGCGAAAGCUAGGGGAGCAAACGGG
Molecule: ribosomal RNA, 253 nt
Filed under: uncultured bacterium
Lineage: Bacteria
Description: partial 16S ribosomal RNA
Rfam family: Bacterial small subunit ribosomal RNA
Source: RNAcentral